UAGAAUAGAAGGUCAUGAUGGAAAAUUCUGAGAUUGUUUUUCCCCCUAAAAUAUUAUAUCCAUUAAAAGAGAAAACUGGCAUGCUAAAUUAUAUGACUAUAUGACUAAAAAGUUUAAACAAACUUCAUCUCUCUUCCCUUUCUUUCUUUCUCAGCUUCAGUUUCUGCCUUAUCAUCUCCAAUAAGGACCUUGGCUAAGAAACAAUGUCAGAUGAGCCCUUCCUAUUACUACAAUUUAAAGAUUCAAAUUCUAUUUAUUACUUUUUUUUCAUUAUUGGCAAAAAUCUUGGAAUACUAGUAUUCACAAUUAUGACAUACGUCCUAUAUGCCUCUGGGAGCAAAAUUUACGGAAAACCCCUUCAAGGCGCAGUUCUAGCACCCAUAAGUUCUGCCAAAUUUCUCGGCAAGGUCACGACUUCUUCACCCGAGAAGCGCACAAUCUUGCUGAUGAUACAAAUGAAGGGCGUAGAAGAGCAUCGAAGCUUAGAAAAGAAUCUCAUCACGCAUCUUGCAAGCGAGAUAGAAUAGUCCCACUCGCAGGAAAUCCAUACUUCACGUCAAUCUUUGUGAAAAGCCAAAUCAGUGAACUGGUAAUUAUCUCCGUGCUUUUGUAACUAUGAAUUGGGGAAACUAUCCAAUGAUUUUUGCUCACCACAUAGAUAAAGCAUCAAACACUGUUUAUCAUUGAAUCUAUUCCUCUAUAUAAACAGGAGAACCUACAGUAAAUACUGCAAAACAAUUAUUGUAGCAUUCUUACUGUAGCAAUCAGGAAAUUGUAAUUUUUUUUGAAAAAAUACUGCAGCCUACGGAAAACAAGGUAGCAUUUUUAAAAAUCACUAUAGCAGAGCGGGAUACUGUAGAAUAUCAAAAAAAAUUAAAAAGCCAUUGUAGCAUUUUAAAUCGGGAUUAAUGUAGCGGGAAAAAAAGAUAUGUCGUGCUUUGCACAGUGUUCACACUAGUUAGUGCAAUACGAAGGACCUAAGGGACUAAUGCAUCGAUCAAAGGUUUAUUUCACACUAAUAUUAUUGGUUUAGUAAGCAUUAUCAGGCAAGUGGUAAAGGUGUUAGCACGUGAUAUGUGACUAAGGACCUGCAAGCUUGAGGUAUAUGCUUUGGCCAAUUAUUUAAGUAAAGCACUCAAAUAUUAUGAUUUGUAAAGUAUUUUGUGUGAUUCAAAGAAUACACUUGUUAUAACCAAAUAAGAAAACAAAUUUAACUUUGCAACGUCUCAUUAUCACACUCAAUCUUCCAGCGGUAGGUACUUGAUGCAAAAUUUUCUCUCUUUUUUAUGACAUUAAGGUGAUUCCCAAGGGUUUUCGUGCGUUAGGUACUUGAUGCAAAAUUUUCUCUCUUUUUUAUGACAUUAAGGUGAUUCCCAAG
RNA transcript from Asparagus officinalis (garden asparagus), 1378 nucleotides. It is a transcript of the gene named B3 domain-containing protein Os04g0386900-like, with no coding region annotated. The record is from RefSeq and is a predicted model, not a curated record. Lineage: Eukaryota; Viridiplantae; Streptophyta; Magnoliopsida; Asparagales; Asparagaceae. The transcript has 2 exons.